Vicia faba (fava bean) is the source of this 204-nucleotide non-coding RNA. Lineage: Eukaryota; Viridiplantae; Streptophyta; Magnoliopsida; Fabales; Fabaceae. The record is from the annotation of a GenBank genome assembly.
AUGGGUUUCAUCGUUUUUCUAAUUUCUUCGCUAGCAGAAUGUGAAAGAUUACCUUUUGAUUUACCAGAAGCAGAAGAAGAAUUAGUAGCUGGUUAUCAAACAGAAUACUCAGGUAUUAGAUUUGGUUUAUUUUACGCUAAGAAUGGAUCAAUUAUUAAAUCUUGGAUGGAAAUUUCUUUUACCUAUUUCUCUCGAAAGAAAUAA